Dalotia coriaria is the source of this 701-nucleotide long non-coding RNA. RefSeq lists it as uncharacterized. The record is from RefSeq and is a predicted model, not a curated record. Lineage: Eukaryota; Metazoa; Arthropoda; Insecta; Coleoptera; Staphylinidae. The transcript is spliced from 2 exons.
GCUGCCAAAGCCGCCACCGCGCCCUCCCCGCCGCCGUCGAACAAUUCCGUGUGCGUUUUUGCGACUUCACGAAUCGAAAGCGCGCUCGCUCGAACACAUUCCAUUCAUUAAUUCAUCAGAUUUAUUAAAAUCUAAAAUUUCAAUUUCAACCGCCGCCCCGCAUACAAAGUUGUAGCUGAGUAAAACUUGUGCGCUGGGAAAUUGAAUAUUUCGUUGUGUGCGUGCUAGUUACUACGACGGGAUGGAGAAAUCGAGAAGGCGAGCACGGUCCGAGGCCGGACACGAAGACGACGACGCCGUCGUCGAGGAUGAGAGUUUGCGAUCGGCCCGUCGCGCCGCCGUCAUCAAGACAACAAGGACGUUUAAUUAAUUUAAUUAAGCACGAAAUUGGAUUUCACGAACGGUGCCGACCAUUAACGUUCACGUCUAUAAACACGACGAGUACGAGGAUGGAACGAUGUUUUGAUGCUUUCUCGUCUUUCCUUCAUCUUCCAGCAUUCUACACGAUGCAAUUGAUGUUAACAUUUACACACUGCAUGUUCUAAUUACUGCCUGAAACAUAAUUAUUCAUUAUUUCAUCAGAAAAUUACAAAGAACGAAAAAGGUUAUGGGUAUGUUGGGUUGCAUAUAUUUAGGCGCACUACACACACUAAACAAGCUAUAAUAGUCUAUGUAACAAUAAAAAACAAGAUGAUUUCUUC